AAGAAUGAGGAUGAAUCUGGUUGUGACACUAAUCACCCUGCUGAUUGUCAGGGUAUAUUUGUGUGAUCUGGCUGUUUUGUUUUAUGCUCCCCUCCUCCAUCAUUGCUUUCUGUUUCCUCCUCCCAAUAAAGCUGUGUAAUCGGUUGAAGAGAAUGACCUUUCCUGAUCGGAGUUGACUGUCCUGUGAUUAAGGAGAUCUUAGUAGGCACACUUCCCUGAUAGAACCUCCAAACAAACUGUCAAGGUGCAUUUAAAAAUGUCCGUAAGCCAGUCGAGUUAGGAAUGCAACAAAUAACUGAAACAAGUACUG
This 310-nucleotide small nuclear RNA is filed under the name Echinops telfairi (small Madagascar hedgehog). RNAcentral's name for it is "7SK RNA (ENSETEG00000024205.1)". It matches the Rfam family "7SK RNA". Rfam says of the family: 7SK was discovered as an abundant small nuclear RNA in the mid-70s but a possible function has only recently been suggested. Two independent studies have found that 7SK RNA binds the CDK9/cyclin T complex (known as elongation factor P-TEFb). The record is from RNAcentral. Lineage: Eukaryota; Metazoa; Chordata; Mammalia; Afrosoricida; Tenrecidae.